CAUCUUGAUUUAAUUUUGAACGAGUGGCGGACGGGUGAGUAACACGUGGGUAACCUGCCCUUAAGUGGGGGAUAACAUUUGGAAACAGAUGCUAAUACCGCAUAAAUCCAAGAACCGCAUGGUUCUUGGCUGAAAGAUGGCGUAAGCUAUCGCUUUUGGAUGGACCCGCGGCGUAUUAGCUAGUUGGUGAGGUAACGGCUCACCAAGGCAAUGAUACGUAGCCGAACUGAGAGGUUGAUCGGCCACAUUGGGACUGAGACACGGCCCAAACUCCUACGGGAGGCAGCAGUAGGGAAUCUUCCACAAUGGACGCAAGUCUGAUGGAGCAACGCCGCGUGAGUGAAGAAGGCUUUCGGGUCGUAAAACUCUGUUGUUGGAGAAGAAUGGUCGGCAGAGUAACUGUUGUCGGCGUGACGGUAUCCAACCAGAAAGCCACGGCUAACUACGUGCCAGCAGCCGCGGUAAUACGUAGGUGGCAAGCGUUAUCCGGAUUUAUUGGGCGUAAAGCGAGCGCAGGCGGUUUUUUAAGUCUGAUGUGAAAGCCCUCGGCUUAACCGAGGAAGUGCAUCGGAAACUGGGAAACUUGAGUGCAGAAGAGGACAGUGGAACUCCAUGUGUAGCGGUGAAAUGCGUAGAUAUAUGGAAGAACACCAGUGGCGAAGGCGGCUGUCUGGUCUGUAACUGACGCUGAGGCUCGAAAGCAUGGGUAGCGAACAGGAUUAGAUACCCUGGUAGUCCAUGCCGUAAACGAUGAAUGCUAGGUGUUGGAGGGUUUCCGCCCUUCAGUGCCGCAGCUAACGCAUUAAGCAUUCCGCCUGGGGAGUACGACCGCAAGGUUGAAACUCAAAGGAAUUGACGGGGGCCCGCACAAGCGGUGGAGCAUGUGGUUUAAUUCGAAGCAACGCGAAGAACCUUACCAGGUCUUGACAUCUUUUGAUCACCUGAGAGAUCAGGUUUCCCCUUCGGGGGCAAAAUGACAGGUGGUG
RNAcentral lists this ribosomal RNA (986 nucleotides) under Lacticaseibacillus rhamnosus. RNAcentral describes it as "bacterial SSU rRNA". It matches the Rfam family "Bacterial small subunit ribosomal RNA", at positions 70 to 1043 of the family's 1533-position model. The record is from RNAcentral. Lineage: Bacteria; Bacillati; Bacillota; Bacilli; Lactobacillales; Lactobacillaceae.